AAUGUAUUAGACUGUGUCAAUGGUACGAGACAUUACUAACGAGUAAAGGUAAUUUCUUCUAUAGGAUAGAUUAAAUAUACCACCUAGAAUUAGCGAUGAUUUUUACACAAACUCAGCAUGUCUGUUUUGUAAUUACCAAUCCGUUUAAUUUAUUUGAUGUGCGCUCAAAAGAUAUAUAACAAUAAUCAAGGACAAGAAGCAUGAAUAAUUGAUGACA
Molecule: non-coding RNA, 217 nt
Organism: Schizosaccharomyces pombe (fission yeast)
Lineage: Eukaryota; Fungi; Ascomycota; Schizosaccharomycetes; Schizosaccharomycetales; Schizosaccharomycetaceae
Source: the annotation of a GenBank genome assembly